This 1149-nucleotide ribosomal RNA is filed under the name Salmonella enterica. RNAcentral describes it as "partial 23S ribosomal RNA". It matches the Rfam family "Bacterial large subunit ribosomal RNA", at positions 1794 to 2925 of the family's 2925-position model. Lineage: Bacteria; Pseudomonadati; Pseudomonadota; Gammaproteobacteria; Enterobacterales; Enterobacteriaceae. RNAcentral also lists the same sequence under 1 other name. The record is from RNAcentral.
CUGCAACUGUUUAUUAAAAACACAGCACUGUGCAAACACGAAAGUGGACGUAUACGGUGUGACGCCUGCCCGGUGCCGGAAGGUUAAUUGAUGGGGUCAGCGCAAGCGAAGCUCCUGAUCGAAGCCCCGGUAAACGGCGGCCGUAACUAUAACGGUCCUAAGGUAGCGAAAUUCCUUGUCGGGUAAGUUCCGACCUGCACGAAUGGCGUAAUGAUGGCCAGGCUGUCUCCACCCGGGACUCAGUGAAAUUGAACUCGCUGUGAAGAUGCAGUGUACCCGCGGCAAGACGGAAAGACCCCGUGAACCUUUACUAUAGCUUGACACUGAACACUGGUCCUUGAUGUGCAGGAUAGGUGGGAGGCUUUGAAGUGUGGACGCCAGUCUGCAUGGAGCCAUCCUUGAAAUACCACCCUUUAAUGGCUGGUGUUCUAACGUGGGCCCGUGAACCGGGUUGCGGACAGUGUCUGGUGGGUAGUUUGACUGGGGCGGUCUCCUCCUAAAGAGUAACGGAGGAGCACGAAGGUUGGCUAAUCCUGGUCGGACAUCAGGAGGUUAGUGCAAUGGCAUAAGCCAGCUUGACUGCGAGCGUGACGGCGCGAGCAGGUGCGAAAGCAGGUCAUAGUGAUCCGGUGGUUCUGAAUGGAAGGGCCAUCGCUCAACGGAUAAAAGGUACUCCGGGGAUAACAGGCUGAUACCGCCCAAGAGUUCAUAUCGACGGCGGUGUUUGGCACCUCGAUGUCGGCUCAUCACAUCCUGGGGCUGAAGUAGGUCCCAAGGGUAUGGCUGUUCGCCAUUUAAAGUGGUACGCGAGCUGGGUUUAGAACGUCGUGAGACAGUUCGGUCCCUAUCUGCCGUGGGCGCUGGAAGAUUGAGGGGGGCUGCUCCUAGUACGAGAGGACCGGAGUGGACGCAUCACUGGUGUUCGGGUUGUCAUGCCAAUGGCACUGCCCGGUAGCUACAUGCGGAAGAGAUAAGUGCUGAAAGCAUCUAAGCACGAAACUUGCCCCGAGAUGAAUCUUCCCUGAGCCUUUAAGGCUCCUGAAGGAACGUUGAAGACGACGACGUUGAUAGGCCGGGUGUGUAAGCGCAGCGAUGCGUUGAGCUAACCGGUACUAAUGAACCGUGAGGCUUAACCUUACAACGCCGAAG